This 493-nucleotide ribosomal RNA is filed under the name uncultured bacterium. Its description in RNAcentral is "bacterial SSU rRNA". It matches the Rfam family "Bacterial small subunit ribosomal RNA", at positions 28 to 513 of the family's 1533-position model. The record is from RNAcentral.
GAUGAACGCUAGCGGGAGGCUUAAUACAUGCAAGUCGAGCGGCAAGUUUUGAUAGCAAUAUUGGAACCUAGAGCGGCGCACGGGUGAGUAACGCGUACAUGACCUGCCCUAUACUGGGGGAUAGUCUUGGGAAACUGAGAAUAAUCCCGCAUGUGAUUAGAAUGCUGCAUGGCAAAUUAAUUAAAGCUGAGGCGGUAUAGGAUGGGUGUGCGUCUGAUUAGCUAGUUGGUAGUGUAACGGACUACCAAGGCGAUGAUCAGUAGGGGGCGUGAGAGCGUGACCCCCCACACGGGUACUGAGACACGGACCCGACUCCUACGGGAGGCAGCAGUAAGGAAUAUUGGUCAAUGGAGGGAACUCUGAACCAGCCAUCCCGCGUGAAGGAUGAAGGGGGCUCUGCCUUGUAAACUUCUUUUGCAUGGGACGAAAAAACUUAAUUUAUUAAGGACUGACGGUACCAUGAGAAUAAGCACCGGCUAACUCCGUGCCAGCA